Molecule: ribosomal RNA, 500 nt
Filed under: uncultured bacterium
Lineage: Bacteria
Description: partial 16S ribosomal RNA
Rfam family: Bacterial small subunit ribosomal RNA
Source: RNAcentral
AUUGAACGCUGGCGGCAUGCCUUACACAUGCAAGUCGAACGGCAGCACGGGAGCAAUCCUGGUGGCGAGUGGCGAACGGGUGAGUAAAGUAUCGGAACGUGCCCAGUAGUGGGGGAUAACGUAGCGAAAGUUACGCUAAUACCGCAUACGAUAUCUGGAUGAAAGGGGGGGAUCGCAAGACCUAGCGCGAUGGGAGCGGCCGAUAUCAGAUUAGGUAGUUGGUGGGGUAAAGGCUCACCAAGCCGACGAUCUGUAGCUGGUCUGAGAGGACGACCAGCCACCCUGGGACUGAGACACGGCCCAGACUCCUACGGGAGGCAGCAGUGGGGAAUUUUGGACAAUGGGCGAAAGCCUGAUCCAGCCAUGCCGCGUGCAGGAUGAAGGCCUUCGGGUUGUAAACUGCUUUUGUACGGAACGAAAAGGUUUGGCCUAAUAAGCUGAGCUCAUGACGGUACCGUAAGAAUAAGCACCGGCUAACUACGUGCCAGCCGCCGCAGUAA